GGAACCUAUGCCGAAUCGGAGAGGCACCUGACUUUUAAUCAGGACGAGGUGGGUUCGAUCCCCACAGGUUCCACCA
RNAcentral lists this transfer RNA (76 nucleotides) under Terriglobia bacterium. RNAcentral describes it as "tRNA-Lys". It matches the Rfam family "tRNA". From Rfam's summary of the family: Transfer RNA (tRNA) molecules are approximately 80 nucleotides in length. Their secondary structure includes four short double-helical elements and three loops (D, anti-codon, and T loops). Lineage: Bacteria; Pseudomonadati; Acidobacteriota; Terriglobia. The record is from RNAcentral.